GUGGGGAAUCUUGCGCAAUGGGCGAAAGCCUGACGCAGCCAUGCCGCGUGGAUGAUGAAGGUCUUAGGAUUGUAAAAUCCUUUCACCGGUGAAGAUAAUGACUGUAGCCGGAGAAGAAGCCCCGGCUAACUUCGUGCCAGCAGCCGCGGUAAUACGAAGGGGGCUAGCGUUGCUCGGAAUUACUGGGCGUAAAGGGAGCGUAGGCGGACAUUUAAGUAAGGGGUGAAAUCCCGAGGCUCAACCUUGGAACUGCCUUUGAUACUGGGUGUCUUGAGUGUGAGAGAGGUGAGUGGAACUCCGAGUGUAGAGGUGAAAUUCGUAGAUAUUCGGAAGAACACCAGUGGCGAAGGCGACUCACUGGCUCAUUACUGACGCUGAGGCUCGAAAGCGUGGGGAGCAAACAGGAUUAGAUACCCUGGUAGUCC
This 425-nucleotide ribosomal RNA is filed under the name uncultured bacterium. RNAcentral describes it as "partial 16S ribosomal RNA". It matches the Rfam family "Bacterial small subunit ribosomal RNA", at positions 354 to 796 of the family's 1533-position model. The record is from RNAcentral.